GACGGAGGGUGCAAGCGUUGCUCGGAAUCACUGGGCGUAAAGGGUGCGUAGGCGGCUUGGUGGGUCUGGUGUGAAAGCCCCGGGCUCAGCCCGGGAAGGGCACUAGAAACUGCCGAGCUGGAGUGCCGGAGGGGAGAGUGGAAUUCCUGGUGUAGCGGUGAAAUGCGUAGAUAUCAGGAAGAACACCCAUGGCGAAAGCAGCUCUCUGGGACGGUACUGACGCUGAGGCGCGAAAGCGUGGGGAGCGAACAGG
Molecule: ribosomal RNA, 253 nt
Filed under: uncultured bacterium
Lineage: Bacteria
Description: partial 16S ribosomal RNA
Rfam family: Bacterial small subunit ribosomal RNA
Source: RNAcentral